GCGCCGGUGGCGGAAUUGGUAGACGCGCUAGCUUGAGGGGCUAGUGAGCGAUUAGCUCGUGGAGGUUCGAGUCCUCUCCGGCGCA
This 85-nucleotide transfer RNA is filed under the name Solirubrobacterales bacterium. RNAcentral describes it as "tRNA-Leu". It matches the Rfam family "tRNA". From Rfam's summary of the family: Transfer RNA (tRNA) molecules are approximately 80 nucleotides in length. Their secondary structure includes four short double-helical elements and three loops (D, anti-codon, and T loops). Lineage: Bacteria; Bacillati; Actinomycetota; Thermoleophilia; Solirubrobacterales. RNAcentral also lists the same sequence under 2 other names. The record is from RNAcentral.